Molecule: long non-coding RNA, 440 nt
Filed under: Physcomitrium patens
Lineage: Eukaryota; Viridiplantae; Streptophyta; Bryopsida; Funariales; Funariaceae
Description: long non-coding RNA (PPAT_LNC005459)
Source: RNAcentral
UAGAAUACUAAAAAUGCUCUAAUUAGACCAUAAUAAUGCUAAGAAAGCUUAAUCAAAUUCAAAAAAAUCUCAAAGAAAUUUCAAACAAAUAAUAAGAAUUCUUAAAGAAAUAUUAAAAAAAUCACAAAUAUCACUCAAAUACAUCUCAAUUCAAUCUCAAUUUAAUUCUAGUUAAAAUCCUAUUGAACUUCAUUCAAACUUUAGGCAAAAACUAAUUAAAUCUUAAAUCCUAAUAAAUCUUAAAUCCUAAAUCAAACCCUAAAUAAACCUUAAACGAAAUCCUAACUAAAUCCUAAAUCCUAAAUCAAACCCUAAUCCCAACCUUAAAUCCUAAAUAAAAUCCUAACCAAACCCUAAAUCCUAAUCCUAAACCCUAAACCAAAUCCUAAUCCAAAUCCUAAAUCCUAACCCUAAAUCAAAUCCUAAUCCAAAUCCUAAUC